AAUAGUAAAUUACAGUAGAAGUGUGGAACUGUGUCCUGCACUAACUUCCGGCCGGACAGCGUUCUGUGCGCGCGCUGUCAGUGUGCGCGUUCUCGCGAAGCUGAGUCGACUGAAGUGCAGCCCAUCUGAAGACUUAUCAAGACCGCGUAAUAGUUCACAUAUCCUCGACUGAAGCGAUGGCAACCGACUCGUGGGCUCUAGCUGUGGACGAACAAGAGUCUACAACCAAGACUAUUGGGAACUUGCGGAUUAUGGAAGCGGGAGAUGCAAAUUUACAUCAGACUGAUGAUAAUGGCGACAAAUCCCGAAAAAGGUAAAA
Molecule: long non-coding RNA, 319 nt
Organism: Cyprinus carpio (common carp)
Lineage: Eukaryota; Metazoa; Chordata; Actinopteri; Cypriniformes; Cyprinidae
Gene: ddx19a
Exons: 3
Source: RefSeq, a predicted model, not a curated record